UUACAUGUUGUUUGUAUUUAUAAACACACUUUUAGAAAACAGGGUAUUUUAUUUGUAUUUAUUGGUAGGUCAUAAUAAAUCUGACUGACAGAAUGUAAAAUCUCCUGCAGUUUCCUCAGAUCAACACUAGAGGUCUCCAUCACACAGCUCAAUGUUAUGACAUCGCACCUAAGAGAAUGAAGACUGUAAUCUAGUCGGUCUCGUCCGAGUCCAGCGAUAUAUGUUUUAUUUUCUCCUUCAAAACAAAACAUUGAUAGAGCAAUAUGCUUUUGAUCCGAAAACUGUUGCCGACUCUCGACUCUCGAGCUGCGCGUGCUCAUAAGUUCUCUCUUCACACAGCAGUUCAGUUCAGUGUGUGCUGUUGUUGUAACUAAAUAACUCCGGUAUAUUGGUUCAGGUCCGCGGGACUGUCAUGCACGCCAGAAAGUGAAUAACUGAAUUAAUUUGUGGAUAAUAUUAAGUGUUUACGGGAGACGCUAAACGGGAACGAUUCAGCUGAACUGGUUCGACCGGUUCACUAAAAAGAAAGAACCGGUUCGAAUGAACGAUUCGUCCGCGGCGCGAACCAGCGUCAAUCAUUCAUCAGGCACGAUGUCAGCGAGCAGCGGCAUAAUACAGAUUGGUUUUACAAACCAAAAUAAAUGUAUCGACAGUGCGCUUAAAAGGAAACUUUUUGCAACAAAACUUUCCCCGAAACAUGUGGGACAACAUCCAAUUUCGUAAGACACCUGCAAAGGCAUCACAAAGAGAGUCCUGGUCUUGGACUUGUCUUGGACUCGACAAUGGUGGACUUGACUACAGCCCUAUAAAAUAUGCUCAGAGAGUCACAUCGAGGAAACACCAUUCAAUUACUCUUCAGCCUUUCCUCUUUAAACCGAUGACAGACUCUUCUACACUGUACAUACGGCUAGUUGUCCUGUCAGAGGAAGAGAAAACAUCUGAUCUUACAGAGUGCCACAAUAACCCAGGACCUGUCAAUCACAGUGGUGUCAGUCACUCAAAACACUGUUAUUGCUGGCUACUAUUGGUCCACAAUAAUCAACGACGUGAAAGAAUGGGUCAUAUACUACAGAGGUGAGGUCUUGUCACUGCUGCCAGCUGAAUGACCCCAUCAAACUGUUGUGCCAGUCUUGCGUUCCACUAAGGUAAAAGAAGCUUGGGAGGUGCUCGGUUUAGAUUGAUUGGACCACUACCAGAAACAAGUAUGUCCGUACCAUGACUGACCUGUACACCAAGUGGGUGAUUUCAGAACCCAUGCAGUCUAAGACAGCAGCUGAAGCUGAGACAAUGCAUCAUUUUAAACAUGGCAGUUUUCACAAGGAUGUAACCCAUCUGCCUUUAAUUUCAGAUGGGAAAUGCUUGCCUCAAGAUUGUAGAAGAAUCUGCACGACAACAUUUACUGUGUGCUAUUGUGGCCCGGUUUCACAGACGAGGCUUAUCUUACGCCAGGACUAGGCCUUAGUUAAUUAUCUGCAUGCUGAUGUAUGCACCUGCACAUCGUGUCCAUUAACAUUCACAGAGACACCCGAUGGUAGUCCAACCAUUGCAGUCUAUCUGUCCUUCCGGUUUUCUUCCCACCUUUUCGAUUUCAACAUGGCAGCGGAGUGAAAUCUAUUGCACGUGCAGCAGCCAGCCACUGUCAGAGACCUACAUUCAGCACGGGACUGAGUACCACGUCACAGAGACAUAUUCCAUGGGGAGGUGACAGAGCCUGUGUUUUUGCGGAUGCACAGGGACAAUCAACAAAAUGUCAUCAGAAAAGGGGUCUUUUUGACCCUGAAAAUUGACCCUGAGGGGUCAAUUUUCCAAGGCAAAGGAUGACUUUUUGUUUGUAUUUCAGUAUCAAGAAGACAUGGAAACAUUUUUGGUCCUAAAGGUCAAUGCCAUGUUCCUUAAUCAGCAAUUUAAGUAGAUGAAUAGAUUAGUGAGUGAGAGAUAAAAGGAGGUAGUAAGUGAAUGAACGUCUUAAGAAAAGAAGGAACAAAUGCAUAAAUAAAUAAAUUGAAUGAAUUCAGAAAAUUCUGUGUGUUUCUUAAAUACAGACAUUUGUUAAAGUAUGCUAAAAUAUGUAGAGCAUAACAUAUAAAUAAAACACACACUUCACUAAAUGGUGUCUUAAAA
Long non-coding RNA from Triplophysa rosa, 2121 nucleotides. RefSeq lists it as uncharacterized. Lineage: Eukaryota; Metazoa; Chordata; Actinopteri; Cypriniformes; Nemacheilidae. The transcript is spliced from 8 exons. The record is from RefSeq and is a predicted model, not a curated record.